This is a long non-coding RNA of Xyrauchen texanus (razorback sucker), 836 nucleotides long. RefSeq lists it as uncharacterized. The transcript has 3 exons. Lineage: Eukaryota; Metazoa; Chordata; Actinopteri; Cypriniformes; Catostomidae. The record is from RefSeq and is a predicted model, not a curated record.
UGCUCGCGCGCGGGAACUGGGCGCGCGCUCUCAGAUACACGCUGCUCUUGAAAGAAUUUUCUCUGCGCUCGCUCAGAGAAUAUGCCUGCACUUAAAACGUGUUCAUUGCAAUCGCGAAUCUCUCCUCUUCGCUUAAAGUAAGCGUGUUUGUGCUUAGACUGUGUCCCGUGCGUUCGCGCAUGCCCAAGUACUCUUCUCUUCGAUUUCUUUCUCUUUGCUCUUGGCAUAAACGCUGUCAAAACGGCAACAACCAAUCAGAAAAGGCUUCAACGACUGACCAAUGAAAACGCGACAUCGUACAUGGAAUCUUAUUGGUUGAUAUUGAACCGCACAUGUUCAUGUGUUCAAUCAAGACGAUUCAAUUCAAUCAAGACGAGCCGAGAUGGAUCCGCAGAAUCGACGAUCUCAGAUCCAGACAGUUGGGAGAGCCGUUCAAAAGAGAAAGUGUGUGUUAAACUUGGCAGAAUAUAAAGGAGGGGAAUUAAGAGGCAGCUGCCCAUAUGGAUAUGUAAUCCAUGUGAAUGUCGACAAAAAAAAGGAAGAAAAACAAUCUUGGUCAUGGCAGCCUUGGACCACUAUACCUAAUAUCUUGAAUUCUCACAUAUCACUUCAAUUAAAGAGAGCAAUGAGAGGGCUGGACUGGUAAUCUGGCAUACCGGCAUUUUCCUUGUGGGCCGGCGCACUUUGGGGCUGAUCAGGGACUGGCCUUCGGGAAAUCCGAGUGGCCUGGGGGGUCGGCUGCAAAACGGGACGAAUGGGCCGCGAUAAGCUCAAAUGAGUCGCUGCAUUAUGCAGAAUGGACCACAAAACGGUGGUGCAAUGUGCAGAAAAGGACA